Plodia interpunctella (Indianmeal moth) is the source of this 11092-nucleotide RNA transcript. RefSeq lists it as uncharacterized. Lineage: Eukaryota; Metazoa; Arthropoda; Insecta; Lepidoptera; Pyralidae. The record is from RefSeq and is a predicted model, not a curated record. The transcript has 25 exons.
AUGUCUGGUGAAGGAGACCGGGCGUCGCGGCCGAACUCGCUGCUGCUGGAGGUGCCUCCGCCAGAGCGGGAGCCCCUUCGCUUCGACGUCCAGUUGGUUGGGGCGCCGCCAGAAGUCGAGCAGCUUGUCAACAAUAUUAAACAAGUCGCUGAAGACUUCCUGUACCAUUGGAAAACUUUUCCCAUUGUGCUCCCGCAGUCGCGUUUCACCGGCCCGGGCAAUAGGCCUUCGGACAUCAUCGCAGCGCCCCCGUGCGACGAGCUCGACGCGGCCGCUCUCGACGCCGGCAUCGAACCUCAUCCUCUGUCGCCGAAGCAGCUACAUGCCAUCAGGGAAAAAGGGGAGUUCGAAGUCCCAUCACGCCACUUUCCCGGUCAGACGCACGUGUGGCGAGUCGCACCAUGGCUGCAACGCGGGCGGGUCAGAGCGAGAGAGGAGCUGUAUUGCCAUCUCGCUCGCGCACUGUCAUUGGUGGUGGUGGUGGCGAGGGAUCGGCUGUUAAGGGAUGAACCGUUUUCGGUUAUAUCUGGUGUCAAGUCUUUACUUUUGGGACUCGAGAGAUUACUAGACCUGGUGAUCGGUAUGCCGUCGCUGGAAGCCCAAGACCUCGAGAAGAAGAUCAGGGACGAACGGUCGCGGUAUUUAGUUGCUGAGCUGAUAUGUAAGCCCGAACAUCAAGAAGACAUAUCAGUGCUGGCUGCGUGGGUGACGCGGCAGAUGAGACGGGCGGCCUCGGAGAAGACAGACGCGCGGGAGUCUCGCACCAUGCCCCGAGUGCCGUGCGUCUACACCACGCCGCAGCGGACGCAGGUGGACCUUCGCCUAUACCGGCGCGAUAUCCUACGUAAAGCCGCGCACACACUGCAAGCGAUAUUAGAGCGCGAAUCGCGCGGUUGGUUCCUACAUUUUAGGGAGCGAAGAGCCGCUAUGUUGGCCAGUCAGAAGAUGCCCGUCAAGGAAAUUGAGGAGGACGUGAAAGCGGCGGCCUCUCGUGAAUACGUGAACAGAGUUUGCAACGCAGUACUGAACAGCGAACAGCUACUCGCAUUGGGCCCAGACGUGCCAGCACUAUUACAGGAUCAGUUGAGGGCUUAUCACAUUCUUGACAGAGCGGAGGACAAUAUCCGUCGGAAACUGGAAGCAGGUCUGUCGCGAGCCGAAGCGAAGAUAAUCGCAGCGCACCCCAUACUGUCCCGCGCCGACAGCUGGAGAGCCGAGAAAGUCUCCAAAGCCGCCGAAAAGUUACAAUUGGAGUUACGUUGGGCGGCGCGCGAGGACGCGGCGGCGGCGCUGCAAGCGCACAAGCUGCUGCAGCACAGGUACUUCCUGCUGCGGGACCUGGCCUUCCUCAGGGACCGGGAGCCGCUGCUGCUCAAGGAAUUAAAGGCGGCGAAGUCACCAACACGCACGUUCUCCUGGGCCACUCGCAUCUGGUUGCCGCAGCACUGGGUCGUGACCCGCCACUUCCGGGGCCGCAGCGAGAGGAUCCCCACAGUGCUGAGCACGCGGGCCACCUCCAUAGUGACCCCCAGGAGCGACCCCUCGCAGCCGGUGUUCUUGGUAGACAGGGAGGUCGUGAGGUCCACCACUACGAGGUGGCCGGGCUGGAGGCUGCUGAACUUGGCGCAUCGCACAUGGUGUUGGAGUUGGAACAUGAUGUUUCUGCUGGGUAUAUUGAUUCCCUGGUGUUCCCCGCUGUCUUUACGAACUCUCAUCUGCGUGAAGCCAAUAGUGCCAGAGUUAGAGCUCUCACAGGUGAACGGCACACUAUUCCCGAAGCGAAGCAGCGAAACACAAACUAUGUGGUCGCGACUGCUCACACUAUGGCGACAUGUAUCUAAACAGCGCACUAAGUUUGAAACUGAGCCGGAUACGGGUCUCCUCGGCAAAGGGUUGAGCCGGCAAGCGAACUGCAUAUGGAAUUAUGGUGUCAUCGGUGGCCUCGGAUCACUAUGUCUCCUGCUGGUGUUCCCUCUAGCAGCACUAAGUGUGGUCGUGCUGUCUGCAGCUGCUGCCGUCAGCGUGCCGCUGUGGAUGCCUGUCUUCACUGUCGGCGCUCAUGCCGCGUUUGCGCUGCUCUAUGACGUUGAUAGUCCGAGGAAGAAGGACAAUAGAUGGUUUGUUCUAUUCGAAGUGUUGUUAUGGAGGAUAGCAGUGUUAGGCGUACUGCAGCCUAUAUGCGCAUGCGUCGUGGCUAUAGUGAUAUGUCCAUUGUGCUCUCUCAUUAUGUUAAUCGCGUGCGCGUCGUGGUGGACGGCGCGCGGCGCGUGGGAGCGCGCGCUGUGGCACGGCGUGCUCGCGCGCGGCGCACGCGUGCCCGCGCACGACUCGCGCUACUGCGCGCGCGUGCGCGGGCCCGGCCUGCACUGCCGCACUUACUACCAGAUCGAUUCAGCGCAAGCGUUGGCAGCAGUAACAGCGAGAGGGGAGGUGGAGGCGCUAGCGGCGUGGGUGGGGGAGCUGGAGCAGGCGAUCGAGCGGCCGCUGCGCGACUACCGCCACUUCGUCGAAGCCUGCUUCGGCCCCUUCUCUGUGCAGAUCGCUAGGACGGGGUCGUACAGACAACUAGAGAAGGAGUGCGGUGAGCUGACAGCCUCGUUGCGGGAGAAGGUGUCCGCGCGGAGACAGGAGCUGGCGCUAGGUCUCAGCGACGCCGCGCGGGCGAGGGUGCGAAUGACAGCUCACGAUCUGAGGCGUGCCGUCCAAGCGUCAGCGGUGGAGUUGUCGCGAGUGUUCAGCAACAUGUCGCGCAACGAAGAAUGGUGGACGGCCAGGGGGCUGGAAGUUGGUGAUUGGCACGCGUUGGCCGCCAACACGCUGGUCGAGGUGUUCGACGCUGAAGUACUAAUAGCGUUAGAAGAGAACGAAGCGAGGCUGUCUCUGUCUAGCGGCGCCGCGCUGCGGACGUGGGCCGCGCGCUGCGGACGCGACGACGCGCCGCCCGACGUCCUCGCGGAGAGGGACGACUGGCGCAGAGAUACUAUGGGCGCGUGGAGCGAGUGGGGCUCCGGGUCGGCGGUGCGGGUGCCGGCGCCGGCGCUGGAGGUGUCCGCGUUUAGCCCGCGUGCCCCGCUCAUGCCGCCCGUGCCCAGUCAGGCGGUCUGUGCGCUGGUGCUCCACAACAGGGAGUCUGACAACCCCGUGCCGCUGGACUCGGAGCUCUGCGCCGAGAUACUGAAGACCCUCGACGAUGCGCCCGACUCUGAUGACACCAGAGCAGAGUGUGUGUCGCGGUACCGCGGCGGCGCAUCGUCCUCCUCCAGCUCGGCCGCCAGCGAGGGCUCGGCCGACGCUGACCUGGACGACCAGCCGGACCCGAUGUGCAGCGUGUCGCGGGCGGCGUGUCGCUGGACGCUGACCGGGCGCGGCGUGCGCUUGCGCGCGGACCUCGCCAGCCCCGAGGACGUCACGCUGGACGACAGGGCGGGGACCUCCGUAUGAUACGUCGCUGUAGAAUAGAAGUGGAAAGCUGCAUCAGGGAUAAAGUGUAGUCGUUGCGACGCUUACGUCAUUGUGAUGACGUCGCUGUAGAAUAGAAGUGGAAGCUGCAUCAGGGAUAAAGUGUAGUCGUUGCGACGCUUACGUCAUUGUGAUGGUAGGGUUACGCUAUAGUAUAGUUGUUAGGGAGAGCGUGCACUGUACUCGUACCACUGACAGUGAAUGAACGAAUGAAUGAAAGAAUGAAUUUGCAGGCAAACAUGGCAGAAGUACGUCAAUAAAAUUAUGUCUAGAUUCAGCUGAACAAGCGUGCAAUAACCCAUUUAUAGCUGAUUUUUAAAUUUCCAUCUAGGAUACUCAGUUUGAAGCGGUUGUGGUGUAAUGGUAAAGACUGACUGUGAACCGAAAGAUCCCAGGUUCGAAUCCUACUCAUGCCACAUGAGUUUGUGCACUAAUCUCACUCAUGUGUAGUAGUUUUCAUCGACCACCACUUGCUUCCGGUGAAGGAAAACAUCGUGAGGGAACCUGCACACUGGCUGAGAAAGCAAUUCCCAACCACUCCAUUAAUAGUACCAAGAAAGUCGUUAUGUGUGUUUAAUUUCAAGUAAUGACCCUCAGCCAUGAGGAAUGCGACCAUGACGAAGAGAAGGCUACACAGUAUCCCUUCUUUACUUGAAUAUGAACGAAUGAAUGAAUUUAUCAACUUCCAGUAAAAGUAGAAGUAAAUAUAUUCAUGCGCAUAGAAAGAAAGAAAGAAAGAAAGAAAGAAACAAGGCUGAAAAUGAUAAAAUCACGGCUUUACACCUACAAUAAUACUGUAGACAAUUUGAGGAGAUUUUUAAUGAGACUUACAUAUUUAAACUAUAAUCCCAUAAAACUCCAAACUUCUAUAACUCAAUUAAUACAGCGUUCUCCAUUUACAUUGCGUAAUUUGCGUUUCAUUCCACGUAAUGACUACGACCCUCAGUCAUGAGGAAUACGAUAAUAAUGAGGAGUAUAUUAGCUUCCAAAGAAAAAAAAAUCACUAUUGAUUUAAAAGUUUGUUGUGUUUUUGUGUGUGAGUGUUUCACAUAAAGUUUUAUUACUUAGUAUAAAUUUUAUUUAACUAAUUUUAAUUUCGGAAUAUGUAAUCACAAAAUACAUACGUUGUAUAUAAAAUGUACAGUGCACGCUAAGCCUUAAAGAUAUCACUAUGAAGUUUCAACGUCUGUCAAUCCAAAUUGAACUUUAAGUAUUAGAAGUGAGAGCUCAAUUAACAUGACAUCGUAAUUUCAGAGUGACUAUGGUAUGCUAAGUUUGUGUUGCUAUUAACGGAGUCUAUUAUUUGUAAUGUUGAGAUUAUUAUUGAAAGGGUUACCAUAAAAUCUUCUUUCAGGUUUUGUGAGAAAUACAUUAAUAUUGUAGCGCGGCAAGGUCACGUAUGUGUUGUGGCCUGUACAGUUACGUGCGAGGAUGGAGCACCCAUCUGUACAGUCCACAACACAUCAACCUACCUAAAAUGAUUGCAAUAUGAGCUCAUGGUAACCCUAUUAAGUAGAGCGUUUAUUGUUUUGACAAUAAGCUAUAGAUUGAACACGAUGCUUGGGUUAUAUUUGUGUAAUAAAAUAUUUUCGAUCGACCGCCGAAAAAGAAUAUGUUUUUAAGGAGUCUUUGUUGACAUAAUGUGAUAUUUUUCAAUACUCUGAGUAAGAGAAAGGAAGUUGUGGCUUCUUUUAAGAAAUGUUGGGAUUUUGACCAUUUUUGCCGUUAACUUAUGAGAUGAAUAAAGUAUUGAAUAAAUGUAUGAAAUUAAAAAGACUCUCAUCGCUAUGGAUAAGAAUAUUUAUAGCACCGCUUUUUAUCGCAAAUAUUUUUAUUGCAAUGUGAACGAACAGCGGUUCGUUUGACUAAAAGGUUGGAAGUCGAGUGUCACUUAUAUUGAAUCUGAUAAAAAGUCGCCAACAUCAGGGCUUCUCUUACGCCAAUGCGAAUAUUGUUCGUAAAGUGUAAUUAAUAAAAAUUAAUAAAAAUAAUAAAUAUUAUAUAUAUAAUAGGUGCAUAAAUAUAACCCAUCCAUCCUAAUCAUCGCUCUUUAAAAUAAGUCUUUAAUGCUGAGCGUGUAAAGUUUAAAAUCGCGUAGACUGUAGAAAACUGAGUUAGGGGAUAGCGCGGAAUUGAAAGACUUGGUCAAAUACCUCGGAAUAAGUGCACUUGUCUCAAACAACGAUAGUGCGUAUGCUUAAAAUAAUAAGGUUGAUAUUUCUGUAGCAAUAUAUCAAUUGAAUCUGUAAAAAAUAUCCGUACUUUUAAAUAUAAUAUUACAAUAACCUCGUAGUGUAAAAAAUCAAGAAUAUUUUCUUUUGCGGAUUCAGUUGGCAUAGACUAUAAAAUAUAAUUUUUUAAAUUUUUGGUCGUCGUAUUUAUUAUAAUCUCUUCCGUUGUGUACAAAAUUUAGAUUCUGUAGCACAAAAGCUGUUUUAAUAUAAUGUAGUGUAUGUAGAUUUAUUGACCAAAAACUGCGGCAUUUAUUUUUUAUACGUAAUUAUAUCUAUGGGCUGGUUUCUUUUCUGUGCCAUUUUAUAUCUAUUGUUUAAAAUGGGGCGUCAUUCGUAAGUUUUUUAAAUUGAAAAAAAAAUGUUACAUGGGGCUAUUUGCCUUAUCUAAAACUAUCAGAUCGGAAUGUCAGUCUCUCUGAACAAAACAUUUUUUUUUCAUGAACGUUUGUGUAUAAUGCUUAUUUUAAAGCAUUGAAUUAAAAUAAUAUUUUUAUACAAUUAUUUUCGAAAUGAUUACUCGAAAUGUGAAAUAAUUAAAAAAAUAUUAUAUUGUUUAUAAUAACGUUGGCCAAUCAUAACAUAAUGAAUUCAAACAAAUUUUCUAUUGGACGCAGACCCUCAAUUAACAGACGUCACACGCGUAACUACCGUAUUUACGACGUAACUACCGUAUGAAAUUGAUUCCUAAUAAGUAAUAAAGCUUAGAAAUUCGCGAGAGUAAGGAGAUGCACUUAAACCAAGAUAAAGAAAACUAAAGAUGACGGGCUAACGUAACCAAAUGAGAUAGAAGAUUUUCAUACAACUUCCCAGCUCAAUACGGUAGUCUCAUACAAAUCGGCAUAAUGGGCCUUGUAAAACUGAGCACACGGUGAGGGAUAAGAUAUUAGCUAUUACGUACUCUUUCUUGAAUGAGCGAAACAAAAGAUAUAACAAAUUCUGUAGUUUUCUCUGUCUACGCACUUAGAUAUAGAUGAGCACUGAAAUGCCUUGUUGAAAUCUGGGUUGGGUGUCGAAACUUGCACGGUAUUGUCACUAUAUUUUCUUCAUUUCGUCCUGAUUUUUUUUUAUAUACUACCAAACAGACAAAUAGGCAUGCGGCCCACACAGUCACUUGCCUGUGGAUGCUACAACACGAGGAGAGUCACGCGUGCGUUGCCCACUUUGUGUUCUAGGUCUUUUGCCACAGUAACCUGUAAUCACACGCCUCUCUCACCCUUCAAGCCGGAACACAACAAUGCAAGCACUGUUGUUUGGCGACAGAUAUAGUUGAGAGUGAAGUACCCAUACAGACGACGUUCGUACCGUCCUAAGAAAUCAGAGAUAGGUCUAUCUGGAAUACUUAUUUGAGUGAUAAACAUAAAAUAUACUUCAUUACAUUGACAUUAAACUAUAAAUAAUACCAAUGGUCAGAUAGCGCAUUAAUAUCUGUACACAAUACAAAUCAAAAAUCAUUUAUUGCAUAUAAUUUUUGUUACGCAUUUUAAAAAGUAUACGUCGGUUCUUAUUCCGAUUACAGCCUAGUAUUAAAUUACAGAAUUCUCUUAUUAACAGGCCUCUUAUUAGCAGAAGCGGUGGUGGUGUAAUGGUUAAGACGCCCGCAUGUGGAUCGAAAGGUCCCAGGUUCGAAUCCUACUCGUGCCACAUGAGUUUGUAUACAAAUCUGACUCAUAAUAUAGUAGUUUUCAUCGACCACCACUUGCUUCCGGCGAAGGAAAACAUCGUGAGGAAACCUGCACACUGGUUGAUUAUUAACUUGUGUGUGAAAUGGAGAAGGCAAUGGCAAACCACUCCAUUAUUAAUGCCAAGAAAGUUGUUGUGUGUGUUUAAUUCCACGUAAUGACCACGACCCUCAGCCAUGAGGAAUACGACGAUGAAUCUGGUCUGGAUUCACAGAAACAAAUUAAAAUCGUGACAAUAUCUUGCAAAUUUAGUAAACACCGACCCAGUACGUAGAUAUUUUUCUUAUAGUGUAAUUAUUAAUCUAUACUUUUUUAUUUCUUAUUUAUAACUAGCUAUCCUAUGAACGUAGCGCUAAUAUAAAAUUAAAAUCCAUAAUAUUAACAAUACAGGUUGAAUUUAUAUAAAAAUACAAGGUUUUAAAUUGACGAGCGUUGCCGAUUUUGCACCAUCUAACAUGCGAUUUUAAUUGUUCCCUUUAAAUAGCGUAUUAUGGCUAUAAUGUAUGUCAUCAUCAAUUAAUUUAAGAUUUAGGUUUCUGUCGUUGGAGCACUUUGCCAUCGAUCGUUUUGCCUCCCUACACGACAUGACAACUGCCCUUGUCUUUUAUGUCAUCUGUGUAAAUUAUAAUGUAUGCAAAGAUGUGCAAAUACGAGAUAUAAAAAUAUAUAUUAAACUGGUAUUUGCGCAUCUAUAUAGCAUGUAACAAACCUCAAUACUGCCAUUUUCACAUUAAAUGUGUGUAAUUAUAUUAGAACUAAAAAUACAUGACCUCUUAAAUAAAUAGUCACAAUGCUUAUUUCCUUAUUCAUAAUAAAAUAUGAAUAUGUGCACUGUCCAUCCCGCUAGCGAUAGUGUCGUAACAAAUAACAGAAAUGAUUACAGCCUAUUAACAAAUUCGGUGAAACCGGCUAACGAAUCUUCAUUGUUAUCACUAAAAUGCAUUUUUAGAAUAGAUUUAUGUCGUAUUCGCGUAGAAUAUGUCGCAAUAAGAGACCAUGACACUAAGCUUUAGCUAGAAUUACGUAGAUUUUAUUAUGCUAUGCGAUACGAAUUCAACUUUAAUACUUAUAAUAAUAUCUAAUUUGUAAAUAUAAGAUUUAAUUUGUCAUUGUGAAAAAAAAAAUUAAAAAGCAUGUGUUUUGUUUAUGAAAUGAAAUUAAUCUAAUUUACUUUACAUUGUGUAAUUUUAUGAUGUAAUUAAUUAAUGGAAUGAUUUUAGUAAAAAAUAUUUAAAUAGCUGUGAAGCCAACUGUAGGGUUGAGCCAAAGUUGUUCGAGUGAACAGUUUACAUGACAUGUUGCUCUCCUAGAAUAAUACCAAAUGAAGUAUAAAAUGAAAAUGAUAAAUAUUAUAUUGUAAUAUACAAAAUAUUUCCUGGUUUUAGCGUAGUAAACUAGUAAACAUUUGGCCUAAUCGUGAAUACCAGUUUGAUCUUACGAGCACACGUGAAGGCAAAGUUCAGAAUACAAACUUUGUAAUAUUAGUACAAUCAACAAGAUAAAAUUCCAACUCAUAUGACUAUGGUUACGCAAAUAAAAAAUUGUAAGAACUUAUGUUAUUGACUGUACCUGUAGUAGUUGCUUUCAUCAUAAGACUAUACCACGAAAGGAGUCCGUGGCAAUAUAAGUAACUAUCAAUAUGUCUUAUGUCUAUAAGCCACGUUUUUGUUUUCAGCGACAGUAGCGCCACAUCUGCGGAACUUAUUUCAUGGUAUGGACUCUGCAUGUAUCAUUCACAUGCGUUUGAUACAUUCUUGACAGAUGAAGCCUAUUUUAAAAAGCCUGAGAACUGUUAAUGGCCUUUCACAUUUGCUCAUGUAAUGUAGCUAGUCUUAAGAAUCACAAAAUAUUUUAUGUUUGUUAAUUUUAUGUUGAAUACACUUAUCUAUACACUUACAAAUUGUGUAGAUGAUACCAAUAAAUAGUCUAACAGUGCAAGAUAUUUGUUGACUUAAACGCGGUAAAAUCUAAGCCUCUUUGGAUUCAGUGGGGAUUAAAAGCGAGAGAGAUAAAAAAUACCUCUGUGAUACCAAAAUCUACUUUUUACGAUUUCGUUGCAGAUCGCUUACUUUGUUAAUUAAGACCAUUGUCUAACAAUGUCCGUCCUUGUACACUUUGUUUUUGGUGAAAUUAAUCCGAAAUAUAAAUGUUCCUACCUUAUGUUAUGGAUGUGCGUGGCAGGUACCCUAUCGCGAUUACACGUACUACAAUUGAAAGUAAAUGAGAAACAGGACUAUUGACUACUUAUAAAAAUAUACCACAUACUCGCAUCUCUUGCGGACGCUCACUCGUCUGCCUCAGCCCUGAGUAUCAUCACAAAAGUUUUGCGUCUCCUUUUUGUUUUAUGAGCCCACACAUCCGAUGACGUUGGUAUCGUGUCUAUUUAGACAUUCUAAACGCAAUUAUUUUACCAAUAUGUAGGUAAGAAAGCUGAAAAAAAAUUAUAUAAAUACAUGUAUGGUUUAAUAUAUUAUUAUGUAACUAUGACGCUUUUACUAUAUUUUUUAUUGGAAGUGUAUUUUUUUAAUCACUAUGUUCUUAAAAAUGGCGAAAAUAUACGUGUUUUGGAAUCAAAUGAGAUUAUAUUAAUUUUCUUUUCGCUGUGUAAUUGUAAGUAAAAUGCCACCGGCUAGAACGAUGCAAUAUUGUGGAACCUUUUAUGUAUUAAACAAUUGAGAUUUUAAAUCUACCAGUGUUUAACUUGAAUAUGCCGCGCACCAUUUUAUUUAUCUUUAUAGUGUUUAAAUUCCUAUAUUUUAUAAUUACUUAUAUUUUUUUUUGUGUGAAGAGGGGUUAAUACAUACGUACUCCUAUGAGGAUAGACAGCGACUAGGGGGAUAUGACACGAUCCUGAAAAUCACUCGCAUAAAAUGUAUGGCGUUAUUGUUUCGCUCAUAGUUGGAUUUUAUAGAUUACUGUUUUAUUUUUGCAAAUGUUCGAACACUAUGUAAACAUGUUACAUUAACAUAAUAAUAAAAAGACUUAUAUAACUCUUGAGGUAAUAUCGUUUCAAACCACGUAUUAUUGUGAUUAAAAUAAUGUAAUAGAUCUGGCCGAAGGAAUACUAUGGGGCGUAAGAAAUAAAACAAUCAUUUGUUAUUGAAUGGAAUUUAAAAUUUAUUAAACCUACCUAUCUAGUAAUAAUUAUAAUCUUCACAUCUCUGUUACACGUUUGGAUCACAUGGAUUUGAAAAUUAUGUUGUUUAUAAAAUACCUACUAUGAUAUUAAUAUAGAAAGCUUGAAUGCAUAUUCUGUUAAAACAAAAAUAAUUAUUAAAAACAAUUCAUUUUGAUCUGUACGAGCGAUGCUGUCGCGUCAUUGGUUUCUACUACAACAUUAUCUAUUUCUAAUUUAACAAUAAUAAUUUGAAAGAAUUUGUUGAACCUACCUACCUAAAGAUAAAUAAAAUGAAAGAAAAAAUAUUAAUAAAAAUAUAAAAAAAUGUUAUUAUGCGUACGCGGAUACCUAGAAGCUUUAAAACAAAAUUGAUCCUAAUCAAAAUAACAUAAUUAACGCAAACUGUAAAAUGGAUUACAAACAUACGGGUACAAUGAUUCUUAAAUCAGUAAAAGUAAAUGAUAACAACAAGAACCACACAGCGCCUAUCGGGUCAAGAACGACAGAUUGCAUUCGAUACAGACAUUUUAUUCGAGUGUGACAAAGGGAAUCGAAAUGUGAAAAUUACCAUCUAAAUUAUUAAAUCCAGGAAUAUUUCUUUU